AAWUAAWUUUAAAAGMCAUUGAUAUACGCUCUAAUUGCAUUGUUUUUUAGUGUCAACUUUGUUUCACGGGUGUAAUAUGACUGCACUCAAGUGAUUGUAUAGUGCUAAAUGCUAAUAGUGAACCUUUUAGAUUGCAAACACAUAGACCAUGAAAAAAUUUACUUAUUAAAUAAUGCUAAAUUGCACUGAUGUAUGCGAAUUCUCUGUGCUUAAAAUUGRCCCUGUUUCAGGACUUUCCGGACACCACAUCCUUUCCUGGGCGGRUCGUGAWGGCCUUGAAAAUGUGCAAUCUACUGUCGUCAAAGCUUGGAAGCUUCAGAAGAUAUCCGUUGUAAUAUGGGAUCUCAUUUGUUAUUUUAACAAUCGGGUCUAUUUUCUGGUUAAAAUGUGAUCUAUGACUCGUGUGUUAAAAUACAAUAGCUUCCCCGCAAAUGAUUGUCCGCGACCUGCUUUAAUUUGCCAUAACCAACACGCAUGAGUACAUAAAGUAACGUAAAAUGUUUCCGUAACUCCCCUUCAUAGUUCACACUUCUUUGCAGAUAACAAUAGAUUAGUCUACAGGAAUUGACGUUUCCACUGCUUCCACAGAAUGCAAAAAACACUUAUUGCAGUGCUGGCUAUCUUGUUCAUUGGUACGGCCAUUGCAACCGAUGAAUCAGAUGAAAAAGAAGAAUCAGAUGAAAAAGAAAAAUGUUUUUCGUUAAAGAAGCAAGGAUUGUGUGCACACAACGAAGUGAAAAUAACUUGCCCGGAUGUCUGCGCAAAGAGCGACAGCCAUGAUAAAAGAGCUUUAAAACGCCAGACGUAUCCUGUCCCAUAUCCCUCUCCGUAUCCUUACCCGUAUCCUUAUCCGUACCCUUCCCCGUAACCUUCCACGUAUCCGUAUCCAUAUCCAUAUCUCAGCCAAUAAAUGUAAUUCAUUGAAAGGAAGAUAAUUGACACCAUAAGGAAAAUCGGAUGUUACCAUGGUUACCAGCAUUAAAGAAAGAACG
Exaiptasia diaphana is the source of this 992-nucleotide long non-coding RNA. RefSeq lists it as uncharacterized. Lineage: Eukaryota; Metazoa; Cnidaria; Anthozoa; Actiniaria; Aiptasiidae. The transcript is spliced from 3 exons. The record is from RefSeq and is a predicted model, not a curated record.